Small nuclear RNA from Syngnathus acus (greater pipefish), 191 nucleotides. RefSeq annotates it as U2 spliceosomal RNA. The transcript has a single exon. NCBI's taxonomy places the organism in Eukaryota, Metazoa, Chordata, Actinopteri, Syngnathiformes, Syngnathidae. The record is from RefSeq and is a predicted model, not a curated record.
AUCGCUUCUCUGCCUUUUCGUUAAGAUCAAGUGUAGUACCUGUUCUUAUCAUUUGAAUAUUUGAUUUGUCCCCUUUGAGGGACUUCAUAUUAAAUUGCUUUUUGGAACAGGGAGAAGAGAUUCAGAGCUUGCUCUGCCCACUCUGCGUAUCAACCUGGUGUUGCAGUAUAUCUGGGACUGGUGUACCUACC